Molecule: ribosomal RNA, 465 nt
Filed under: uncultured bacterium
Lineage: Bacteria
Description: partial 16S ribosomal RNA
Rfam family: Bacterial small subunit ribosomal RNA
Source: RNAcentral
CUACGGGAUGCAGCAGUGAGGAAUUUUGCGCAAUGGGGGGAACCCUGACGCAGCAACGCCGUGUGAGUGAAGAAGGCCUUUGGGUCGUAAAGCUCUGUCAACUGGGAAGAAGUUACUAUGCUUAAAUAGAGUGUAGUAUUGACGGUACCAGUGGAGGAAGCGUCGGCUAACUCCGUGCCAGCAGCCGCGGUAACACGGGGGACGCAAGCGUUAUUUGGAAUUAUUGGGCGUAAAGGGCGCGUAGGCGGUCUUGUCGGUCAGGUGUGAAAGCCCGGGGCUCAACCCCGGACGUGCACUUGAAACAGCAAGACUUGAGUACGGGAGAGGAAAGCGGAAUUCCUGGUGUAGAGGUGAAAUUCGUAGAUAUCAGGAGGAACACCGAUGGCGAAGGCAGCUUUCUGGACCGAAACUGACGCUGAGGCGCGAAGGCGUGGGUAGCGAACGGGAUUAGAUACCCCGGUAGUC